GGGGGGGAGCCUGAUCCUGGGCUGUGUCCCGGCGCCCUGUGCUCCGGGGCCUGCGCUGUUGGAUUCGUGCUCCCAGCCGCGAAGUCACCU
Molecule: microRNA precursor, 90 nt
Filed under: Canis lupus familiaris (dog)
Lineage: Eukaryota; Metazoa; Chordata; Mammalia; Carnivora; Canidae
Also listed under: 1 other name
Description: mir-8799 microRNA precursor family
Rfam family: mir-8799 microRNA precursor family
Source: Rfam by way of RNAcentral